This is a long non-coding RNA of Epinephelus moara (kelp grouper), 3501 nucleotides long. RefSeq lists it as uncharacterized. Lineage: Eukaryota; Metazoa; Chordata; Actinopteri; Perciformes; Serranidae. The transcript has 3 exons. The record is from RefSeq and is a predicted model, not a curated record.
GCAUCUUUCACUUUGUACGACACAACGUAUUCAGAGGACACAGGUGUCUUCAGAGGACACAGGUGUCUUCAGGGGACACAGGACACAGGUGUCGUCAGGGGACACAGGUGUCUCUAGUGGACACAGGUGUCGUCAGUGGACACAGGACACAGGUGUUGUCAGGGGACACAGGUGUCUUCAGAGGACACAGGUGUGCUCUGUGUCACUCAGCUUAAGUCAGGUGUUUGUCUAAACAACAACAACUGUGACUCAGGAAACAAUGCAGAGGUCAAAAACAUCAACAGGAUCAGUUCAUGACGUCAUCGUUUCUGUAAACUUUAUUUACACUUUUUAAUACACUGGUGUUCAGUCAGAGACCACAAACACACACACACACACACACACACACACCUGCACUGAUGGGUACAGUAGUCAGGUACAGUAGUCAGGUAGCCAGGUACAGUAGUUAGGUAAAGUAGCUGGGUACAGUAGUCGGGAACAGUAGUCAGGUCUGGGUACUGUAGCUAGGUCCAGUAGUCAGGUACAGUAGUUGGGAACAGUAGUCAGGUCUGUGUACAGUAGUCAGGUACAGUGGUCGGGUACUGUAGUUGGGAACAGUAGUCAGGUCUGGGUACAGUAGUCGGGAACAGUAGUCAGGUCUGGAUACAGCAGUCAGGUACAGUAGUCGGGUACAGUAGUCGGGAACAGUAGUCAGGUCUGGGUACAGUAGUCAGGUACAGUAGUCAGUACAGUAGUCGGGAACAGUAGUCAGGUCUGGGUACAGUAGUCAGGUACAGUAGUCGGGAACAGUAGUCAGGUCUGGGUACAGCAGUCAGGUACAGUAGUCGGGUCUGGGUACAGUAGUCAGGUACAGUAGUCGUGUACAGUAAUUGGGAACAGUAGUCAGGUCUGGGUACAGUAGUCAGUUACAGUAGUUGGGAACAGUAGUCAGGUCUGGGUACAGUAGUCAGGUACAGCAGUCAGGUACAGUAGUCGGGUACAGUAGUCGGGAACAGUAGUCAGGUCUGGGUACAGUAGUCAGGUACAGUAGUCGGGUAUAGUAGUCGGGAACAGUAGUCAGGUCUGGGUACAGUAGUCAGGUACAGUAGUCGGGAACAGUAGUCAGGUCUGGGUACAGUAGUCAGGUACAGUAGUCGGGUACAGCAGUCAGGUACAGUAGUCGGGUACAGUAGUCAGGUCUGGGUACAGUAGUCAGGUACAGUAGUCAGGUACAGCAGUCGGGUACAGUAGUCGGGUACAGUAGUCGGGAACAGUAGUCAGGUCUGGGUACAGUAGUCAGGUACAGCAGUCGGGUACAGUAGUCGGGUACAGUAGUCGGGAACAGUAGUCAGGUCUGGGUACAGUAGUCAGGUACAGUAGUCGGGUACAGUAGUCGGGAAUAGCAGUCAGGUCUGGGAACAGUAGUCAGGUCUAGGUACAGCAGUCAGGUACAGUAGUCGGGUACAGUAGUCAGGUCUGGGUACAGUAGUCAGGUACAGUAGUCGGUACAGUAGUCGGGAACAGUAGUCAGGUCUGGGUACAGUAGUCAGGUACAGUAGUCGGGUACAGUAGUCAGGUCUGGGAACAGUAGUCAAGUCUGGGUACAGUAGUCAGGUACUAGUGUUGUCACGGUACCAAAAUUGGGACCCACGGUACAAUACCAGUGAAAGUAUCACGGUUCUGAGUAGUAUCACAAUACCACAGCAAAAAUUAGGAAGAUGUGCCUUUUGUCAUUUAUAAAAAGAUAAAUCACUUUUCUAUAAUACAUCAAUGAUAUUUCAAUAGAAUAAAUUACUUAUUGACUUAUUCAUACUUCAAAAACAGCAUCAAUAACUGAUUAACAUAGAGGGGAUCAGAAUAAAAUAAAUAAAUAAAAUAAAAAUCAACCAGCCACCCUCCUUCUCUGACAAGUUAAGAACAGUCCCUUAAGUGCGGUGAGGUUUGUGGACCGUUACCUGCCACAAAGAGAGAAAUGUGAACGACUCGUCUCUCCUCUGACACGUCACAUACCUGUGUGCCGCCACGGCUCAGCUGUUCAGGUACUUAUGACACAAUUUCCAAGAGGAAAUUAUUGGACCUGGAGCCUGGCUCCUUGGUCGCUGGUAAGCCGUUAUUUUGCGAUGGCCAUAGCGCUCCGCCGUAUUCCUGUCUGUGACCCCCGUUCAACCCACAACCGGCAGGAUUCGCCUUUCGUUUCUGCUGCUGGUUGAAAUCUGUACUCGCACAGCGUGCUGAAUGAUUUAUUUUGCUCGCACAAAAAUAUUUUUAGUCACAAAUGCAAGUAAAAUGCUCGCACCAUAGAGCUCUGUGGAAAACAAAUCACUGUAGCAUAUAUAAACAAAUCUAGCCUACAAGUAAAAAGAAAAAAAUAAUAACUUUCACUGCUUAAAGAUACUCAAUAGCUCAGCUAAUACCUGAAAUGUCACUGGAAAACAAACCACUGCAGCAGCAUAUUGAGUGCCAGGUGGCCAGCGUGUGCCGCUAUUGGACGGCGCAUGGACACUCACAUGGACUCUACAGUAGUCGGGUACAGUAGUUGAGUACAGUAGUCAGGUACAGUAGCUGGGUACAGUAGUCAGGUAUAGUAGUCAGGUCUGGGUAUAGUAGUCAGGUACAGUAGUUGGGUACAGUAGUCAGGUCUGGGUAUAGUAGUCAGGUACAGUAGUUAGGUCUGGGUACAGUAGUCAGGUCUGGGUAUAGUAGUCAGCUACAGUAGUCGGGUACAGUAGCCGGGUACAGUAGCUUAGUACAAUAGUCAGGUCUGGGUUUGUAGUCAGCUACAGUAGUCGGGUACAGUAGUCAGGUCUGGGUAUAGUAGUCAGCUACAGUAGUCGGGUACAGUAGCUGGGUACAGUAGCUUAGUACAAUAGUCAGGUCUGGGUACAGUAGUCAGCUACAGUAGUCGGGUACAGUAGUCAGGUCUGGGUAUAGUAGUCAGCUACAGUAGUCGGAUACAGUAGUCAGGUCUGGGUAUAGUAGUCAGCUACAGUGGUCGGGUACAGUAGCUGGGUACAGUAGUCAGGUCUGGGUAUAGUAGUCAGCUACAGUAGUCGGAUACAGUAGUCAAGUCUGGGUACAGUGGUCGGGUACAGUGGUCGGGUACAGUAGCUGGGUAUAGUAGUCAGCUACAGUGGUCGGGUACAGUGGUCGGGUACAGUAGCUGGGUACAGUAGUCGGGUACAGUAGUCAGGUACAAUAGUUGGUGUGUGUUGUAGUCAUGAUAAAAAUCUAAAGGUGAGUCUGAGUGUCCAUCUUUGUUUUUUCUGCUUAAUCCUGCCUCUAACCAGUUUCUUCUUCUCCCCCUCCUCCUCCUCCUCCUCCUUCUUCUUCUUCUUCUUCUUCUUCUUCUUCUUCUUCUUCUUCUUCUUCUUCUCCUCCUCCUCCUCCUCCUCCUCCUCCUCCUUCUUCUUCUUCUUCUUCUUCUUCUUCUUCUUCGUCGUCUUCGUCUUCGUCUCCUCCUCCUCCUCCUCCUUCUUCUUCUCCUCUUUCUCCUCCUCCUUCUUCUUCCUGUGUUUGUGUCAC